CGCCUUCUGCCUAAUUAUAGAAGGUCCAGCCUGCCCAGUGAAUUAAUUCAACGGCCGCGGUAUCCUAACCGUGCGAAGGUAGCGUAAUCACUUGUUCUUUAAAUGAGGACUAGUAUGAAUGGCACCACGAAGGUUAUACUGUCUCCCACUUCUAAUCAGUUAAACUAAUCUCCACGUGAAGAAGCGUGAAUAAUCAUAUAAGACGAGAAGACCCUAUGGAGCUUUAAAUAGUGCAACAUGUGUUUUUAUUAUUUAACUUCAUGAAAAAACCUACAUUUAAACAUUUUGAUUGCUAAUUUUUGGUUGGGGUGACCGCGGAGUAAAAAAUAACCUCCAUAAUGAAAGAAAUUAUUUUCUAAACCUAGAGCUACAACUCAAAGUAUUAUUAAAUUAACAUCCUUUGAUCCAAUAUAUUGAUCAACGAACAAAGUUACCCUAGGGAUAACAGCGCAAUCUACUUCAAGAGCUCCUAUCGACAAGUAGGUUUACGACCUCGAUGUUGGAUCAGGGUAUCCUAGUGGUGCAGCCGCUACUAAAGGUUCGUUUGUUCAACGAUUAAAACCCU
RNAcentral lists this ribosomal RNA (565 nucleotides) under Engystomops pustulosus (Tungara frog). RNAcentral describes it as "partial 16S ribosomal RNA". It matches the Rfam family "Bacterial large subunit ribosomal RNA", at positions 1829 to 2597 of the family's 2925-position model. Lineage: Eukaryota; Metazoa; Chordata; Amphibia; Anura; Leptodactylidae. The record is from RNAcentral.